UACGGGGGGGGCAAGCGUUGUUCGGAAUUAUUGGGCGUAAAGAGCGUGUAGGCGGUCCGGUAAGUCAGCUGUGAAAGUCAAGGGCUCAACCCUUGAAUGCCGGUUGAUACUGUCGGGCUAGAGUCCGGAAGAGGCGAGUGGAAUUCCCGGUGUAGCGGUGAAAUGCGCAGAUAUCAGGAGGAACACCGGUGGCGAAGGCGACAUCCUGGACCGGUAUUGACGCUGAGGCGCGAAAGCCAGGGGAGCAAACGGG
This 253-nucleotide ribosomal RNA is filed under the name uncultured bacterium. RNAcentral's name for it is "partial 16S ribosomal RNA". It matches the Rfam family "Bacterial small subunit ribosomal RNA", at positions 524 to 776 of the family's 1533-position model. The record is from RNAcentral.